CCUACGGGGGGCAGCAGUGAGGAAUAUUGGUCAAUGGCCGCAGGGCUGAACCAGCCAAGUCGCGUGAGGGAUGACGGUCCUAUGGAUUGUAAACCUCUUUUGUCAGGGAGCAAAGGGCGCCACGUGUGGCGCUUUGCGAGUACCUGAAGAAUAAGCAUCGGCUAACUCCGUGCCAGCAGCCGCGGUAAUACGGAGGAUGAGAGCGUUAUCCGGAUUUAUUGGGUUUAAAGGGUGCGCAGGCGGAAUGUCAAGUCAGCGGUAAAAUUUCGGGGCUAAACCCCGUCGUGCCGUUGAAACUGGCGUUCUUGGGUGCGCGAGAGGUAUGCGGAAUGCGUGGUGUAGCGGUGAAAUGCAUAGAUAUCACGCAGAACUCCGAUUGCGAAGGCAGCAUACCGGCGCUCAACUGACGCUCAUGCACGAAAGCGUGGGUAUCGAACAGGAUUAGAUACCCUUGUAGUC
This 459-nucleotide ribosomal RNA is filed under the name uncultured bacterium. Its description in RNAcentral is "partial 16S ribosomal RNA". It matches the Rfam family "Bacterial small subunit ribosomal RNA", at positions 338 to 795 of the family's 1533-position model. The record is from RNAcentral.